Molecule: ribosomal RNA, 1511 nt
Filed under: metagenome
Description: bacterial SSU rRNA
Rfam family: Bacterial small subunit ribosomal RNA
Source: RNAcentral
AGAGUUUGAUCCUGGCUCAGAACGAACGCUGGCAGCGUGGAUUAGGCAUGCAAGUCGAACGGGAUCUACUUUUUUCAAGUUUUCGGACGAGAAAGUUGUAGUGAGAGUGGCGAAAGGGUGAGUAACGCGUGGGCAAUCUACCUAUUAGUUCGGGAUAGCUUCUGGAAACGGGAGGUAAUACCGGAUGUGGUACGAAAACGCCUGUUUUCUCUUCUAAAGCUGGGGCUUCUUCGGAACCUGGCGCUAAUAGAUACCCCGCGUCCCAUCAGCUAGUUGGUAAGGUAAUGGCUUACCAAGGCUUACGGGUAGGUGGUCUGAGAGGAUGGUCACCCACACUGGGACUGAGACACUGCCCAGACUCCUACGGGAGGCUGCAGUCGAGAAUCAUUCGCAAUGCGCGAAAGCGUGACGAUGCGACGCUGCGUGGAGGAUAACGGCCUUAGGGUUGUAAACUCCUGUCAGAAGGGAAUAAUUGCAUCACGGUUAAUAGCUGUGGUGUUUGACAGUACCUUCAGAGGAAGCCACGGCUAACUCUGUGCCAGCAGCCGCGGUAAUACAGAGGUGGCGAGCGUUGUUCGGAUUUACUGGGCGUAAAGGGUACGUAGGCGGUUUUGUGUGUCAGAUGUGAAAUCCAACCUUUCAUGGGUUGAACUGCAUUUGAAACUGCAAGACUAGAGUAUGGAAGAGGAGAGUGGAAUUCAUGGUGUAGCGGUGAAAUGCGUAUAUAUCAUGAAGAACACCGGUGGCGAAGGCGACUCUCUGGUACAUAACUGACGCUGAGGUACGAAAGCCGGGGUAGCGAAGAGGAUUAGAUACCCUCGUAGUCCCGGCCGUAAACGGUGUGCACUUGAUGUUGGAAGGUUUGUCCCUUUCAGUGUCGAAGCUAACGUGAUAAGUGCACCGCCUGGGGAGUACGGUCGCAAGGCUAAAACUCAAAGGAAUUGACGGGGGCCCGCACAAGCGGUGGAGCAUGUGGCUUAAUUCGAUGCAACGCGAAGAACCUUACCUGGGCUUGACAUACUUGUCGUAGUUCAUAGAGAUAUGAACGUCGGUUCGGCCGGACAAGAUACAGGUGCUGCAUGGCUGUCGUCAGCUCGUGCCGUGAGGUGUUGGGUUAAGUCCCGCAACGAGCGCAACCCUUAUGUUUAGUUGCCAGUCUUCGGACGCACUCUAAACAGGCUGCCGGUGAUAAGCCGGAGGAAGGUGGGGAUGACGUCAAGUCAGUAUGGUCCUUAUGUCCAGGGCUGCACACGUGCUACAAUGGCGUAUACAAAGGGAAGCAAGACCGCGAGGUGGAGCAAAUCCCCAAAAUACGCCCCAGUUCAGAUUGUAGUCUGCAACUCGACUACAUGAAGCCGGAAUCGCUAGUAAAGGAGCAUCAGCUACGGCCCCUUGAAUACGUUCCCGGGCCUUGUACACACCGCCCGUCACAUCACGAAAGCCGAUUGCACCCGAAGUCGCUGAUCCAACUGUUUACAGGGGAAGGUGCCGAAGGUGUGAUUGGUAAUUGG